CUCCAGUCCGCCGCCACAGGUCUUCGGGGCGGGUCGUGUCCCGCCAUGAAGUUUCGCGCCAAGAUUGCGGACGCAGCCUGUCUCAACCGCUUCACGCGUGAGCGGGUCGCAGGCGCCCAGGGUGUGGAGGCGGCAGCUGCCUGGUGGCCAAGCUGGCCCGCGCCUGCACCCCGCGCAUCCGCCUCCCUCCCCCGGCCCGGCCCGAGCGGCCCGAGCGCACCGGCCCCUGACCCCGCGCCGCCCCCGGAGAACUUCUUCAGCGAGUUCCAGGUGGAGGCGUCUCCGAGGACAACGAUGCCAUCUACGUGGAGCUCGCGGCCGAGAACCGCUCCCGCGCCCUGAACACCGCGCAGAACGGCCGGGCCUUGAAGGUCAGGGGGACCCACCAGCACUUCCCCUCCGGACGGCGUCCUUAGAGCUGGUGUCUGUGUCGAGCAGCAGCCGCACGUGACCCGACGUCCGUGAAGGUCACUCGCAGGAGGCCGUGGAGGAACCUGAGGAGCCACCGCCCGGACGCUGAUGUCUUGGCUGAGCGACAGUGAGCUCGUCACCUGCGCAGGGCGCGUCCACCAUCCACAGCGUGGCUCAGGGCCACGCGGGAGAGGAUGCGGAGACAGACGCGCACCCAGGCAGUGCUGAGGGACACCUGCAUGUCCGUCCUCAUGCUGCUCCUACACCUGCUUAGAACCCACGGGCCUUCCCCCCGGGAUGAACACUCUCUGCCACGCCAUCCGGAACACCUUCGACAGGAGAUGCCAGGAGCUCCUCCGGCAGACUAAGCAGCGUGGGUGCUGAUGGGACUGGAGCCUGACCACACUGCUGGAUGGCGUGUGCCCGGUCGGCGUGCCCAGCGCUCAGCCUCAGCCGAAUCCCAACAAGAACAGCAGAGGGCGCCCUCGGCACACCUACCGCUCCUCUCAACCGGCCAAGGCCUCAAAUCCAGAGCCGAGAAGCUGCACCGCCAGGAGGGAGAAGCUGCACCGCCAGGAGGUGCCCGCGCGGCUACAUGUCAGGCGGGGUCCUGGGCAGGACCCGGGGCAGGAGGGGGCCAUUUGGGGGAACUGAGGCGUCUGAGUGCAGGAUGGCUUCAUUGAGUUCACGAUGUGUCCGUACUGGUUCACUGAUUGUGACAAACGCAUCAGAGUGAGCGUGUGAGUGAGCGUUCUCCGGGGAGCAGCACCAACGGGACCGUAGACACAAUGUAGAUGUACAUGCAGAUUUAUCUGAAGGAACUGGCUCGUGACUGGGGAGACUUGAAACAUCCAGAACAGCGUUGGAGCAAAUAUCGGCAUCGUGGCCCUGCCACGCUGACACAGGACGUUAACCGUGGCACCAACAAACCCGUCGGGUGUGACACGCUGUCGCUGGCAGGAUCCGGAAGAGGAAGUGGAGUGUCUGGGAGGCGCAGAGGUGGGUGAGGCCGGGCCGCCCCGGGUCUGCACCCACGACCCCAAAGCUCCAGGAAGACAUACUGAGUGGAAGUAUGUUUACAAAAUAAAAUGUUUUUAUCGACGACAGAGAGAGAGAGAGAGAGAAACAUCUAUGAUGAGAGAAUCAUGGAUCGGCUGCCUCCUGCACACCUCCCACCGGGAGUCGAGUCCACAACCUGGACGUGGGCCCUGAUGGGGAACUGAACCGUGGCCUCCUGGUUCCUAGGUCGACACUCGGCCCCUGAGGCACACAGGCGGGCGGACCUGUGCUUCUGUAGGCGAGAGGAAGGCUGAGCUGGCAGCCUGCGUGAGCUUUUGGUUUCUCUGCACGUGGCCAUUUAGUUUGGAAUGAAAGGGGUGAAGCACGGCUUUUAUGUGACCUGAGAGCAGCCCCCACGUGACUGCAUCAGAGCUCCCCGGGGGGGGGGGGGGGGGCGAGGUUCCUGGGCCCGGAGGACCCGCCGAGGACCUCCUGUGCGAUGGAAGUCAUGCGUGACUCGCUGUGUGAUGGAAGUCAUGCGUGAACGUCAGCACGCACGGUGCUGGGGGGCCCUGGGUCUGCUGGGGGUCUGCCCAUCACCUCCCUCUGCUCCCCCAGCAUCGUCUGAGGUUCAGGUUUCAGACACAGGGUGGUGCCAAGGGCCACAUGAAGCACUGACCUUCCGGGGGGCUUGCGGCUUUCCCGUGAGCGACAGUGCACGAUGGCUGCCCCCUCCCCCACACCCCCACACACAGCAGGGGCGGAGAGACAGAUCUGGGCAGACAGAUGGCUGUGGGAGGGUGGUAGAUGGAGGUGAGUGGAGGAUUCCGGCGCCUCAACGGCUCAUCCUGCUCCAGCCCCCUCCCCAAGCCUCAGUUUCCCCGUGUUACAGGGGCCCCCAUCCCCCCGCACCCGCAGAGCCUUUCACUCCCUUGUCCAGUGUGACCCCCAUGGCCACCAUCUCUCCUCUCUGGGCCACCUCGCUUCCUCCCGGUCGGCAGGGGGGGCCGGACAUGGCCCUGCUCUGUGGGGACCUAAUGGGCUUUGCGGGGAGACGGGAGCUUCUGUGUGGGGUGGGCAGCAGGGCUCUAGGGUUUGGUGUGAACAGGUGGUUCUGGGGAGGAAAAGCUGAGCAAGGGCGAGGCCUGGA
This is a long non-coding RNA of Myotis myotis, 2560 nucleotides long. RefSeq lists it as uncharacterized. Lineage: Eukaryota; Metazoa; Chordata; Mammalia; Chiroptera; Vespertilionidae. The record is from RefSeq and is a predicted model, not a curated record. The transcript has 8 exons.